AGCAGCCGCGGUAAUUCCAGCUCCAAUAGCGUAUAUUAAAGUUGUUGCAGUUAAAAAGCUCGUAGUUGAAUUUCGGGAUCAAUAUGUUGGUCGUGCCUCGGUACGCACUGGCAUCGUUGAUUUCUACCUUCUGAUGAACCAUGAUGCCAUUAAUUUGGUGUCAGGGGAAUCAGGACUGUUACUUUGAAAAAUUAGAGUGUUUAAAGCAGGCUCACGCUUGAAUACAUUAGCAUGGAAUAAUGAAAUAGGACGUUUGAUUCUAUUUUGUUGGUUUCUAGGAUCGACGUAAUGAUUAAUAGGGAUAGUUGGGGGCAUUAGUAUUCAAUUGUCAGAGGUGAAAUUCUUGGAUUUAUUGAAGACUAACAACUGCGAAAGCAUUUGCCAAGGAUGUUUUCAUUAAUCAAGAACGAAAGUUAGGGGAUCGAAGACGAUCAGAUACCGUCGUAGUCUUAACCAUAAACUAUGCCGACUAGGGAUCGGAUGAUGUUAAUUUUAUAA
RNAcentral lists this ribosomal RNA (498 nucleotides) under uncultured Glomus. RNAcentral's name for it is "SSU rRNA". It matches the Rfam family "Eukaryotic small subunit ribosomal RNA", at positions 569 to 1074 of the family's 1831-position model. The record is from RNAcentral. Lineage: Eukaryota; Fungi; Glomeromycota; Glomeromycetes; Glomerales; Glomeraceae.